RNAcentral lists this ribosomal RNA (386 nucleotides) under uncultured bacterium. Its description in RNAcentral is "bacterial SSU rRNA". It matches the Rfam family "Bacterial small subunit ribosomal RNA", at positions 29 to 416 of the family's 1533-position model. The record is from RNAcentral.
AUUGAACGCUGGCGGCAUGCUUUACACAUGCAAGUCGAGCGGCAGCGCGGGGGCAACCCUGGCGGCGAGCGGCGAACGGGUGAGUAAUGCAUCGGAACGUAUCCUGUAGUGGGGAAUAACUCACCGAAAGGUGAGCUAAUACCGCAUAAGCUCUGAGGAGGAAAGCGGGGGACCGAAAGGCCUCGCGCUGCAGGAGCGGCCGAUGUCCGAUUAGCUAGUUGGUGAGGUAAAGGCUCACCAAGGCGACGAUCGGUAGCUGGUCUGAGAGGAUGAUCAGCCACACUGGGACUGAGACACGGCCCAGACUCCUACGGGAGGCAGCAGUGGGGAAUUUUGGACAAUGGGGGAAACCCUGAUCCAGCCAUGCCGCGUGAGUGAAGAAGGCC